UUAUGAACCAUUGGAGUUUUUGAUCCCAAGUACAUGACUGAGGAUGGCUCUCAUGGAGCCACUACAUUACUUGCUCCCAUAGAUCAGAUGAAAAUGGACAUGAUAGCAUAAGGUGAUCUCUGGUCUCUAUGUGGUUCUGGCACAAUAUACAUUGCUGAUGAACACUCAGUCCCCAGCUUGCUAAUCUAUCUUUGGUUGGUAAUCUGUCUUGUAGAACCAACCACAAAUUGAAGACAGUUUUUGGUCUAGCAUAAUUCUUGAUGAUCAGAUUCUUCAUGGUACUCGUGGCUCUGGCACAGUAUACAUUGUUGAUCAACACUCAGUCCCCAGCUUGCUAAUCUAUCUUUGGUUGGUAAUCUACCUUAUAGAACCAGCCACAAAUUGAAGACAGCUUUUGGUCUAGCAUAAUUCUUGAUGAUCAGAUUCU
Molecule: long non-coding RNA, 427 nt
Filed under: Nicotiana benthamiana
Lineage: Eukaryota; Viridiplantae; Streptophyta; Magnoliopsida; Solanales; Solanaceae
Description: long non-coding RNA (NBEN_LNC005264)
Source: RNAcentral